RNAcentral lists this ribosomal RNA (513 nucleotides) under uncultured bacterium. RNAcentral describes it as "partial 16S ribosomal RNA". It matches the Rfam family "Bacterial small subunit ribosomal RNA", at positions 28 to 523 of the family's 1533-position model. The record is from RNAcentral.
GACGAACGCUGGCGGCAUGCCUAAUACAUGCAAGUCGAGCGAACAGAUGAAGUGCUUGCACUUUUGACGUUAGCGGCGAACGGGUGAGUAACACGUAAGGAAUCUACCUAUAAGCGGGGGAUAACAUUCGGAAACGGGUGCUAAUACCGCAUAAUAUCUUCUUCCGCAUGGAAGAAGAUUGAAAGACGGCUCUGCUGUCACUUAUAGAUGACCUUGCGGUGCAUUAGUUAGUUGGUGGGGUAACGGCCUACCAAGACGAUGAUGCAUAGCCGACCUGAGAGGGUGAUCGGCCACAUUGGGACUGAGACACGGCCCAAACUCCUACGGGAGGCAGCAGUAAGGAAUCUUCCGCAAUGGGCGAAAGCCUGACGGAGCAAUGCCGCGUGAGUGAAGAAGGCCUUCGGGUCGUAAAACUCUGUUAUAAGAGAAGAACAAAUUGUAGAGUAACUGCUACAGUCUUGACGGUAUCUUAUCAGAAAGCCACGGCUAACUACGUGUCAGCCGCCGCCGUAA